AUUGUUUUGGCAGAUUAGUGCUUUAAAUUUAGAAUUUAAGAAUGUGAGUUAAACACAAAUAAUA
RNAcentral lists this transfer RNA (64 nucleotides) under Polyphylla gracilicornis. RNAcentral describes it as "tRNA-Leu". The record is from RNAcentral. Lineage: Eukaryota; Metazoa; Arthropoda; Insecta; Coleoptera; Scarabaeidae.